Non-coding RNA from Petromyzon marinus (sea lamprey), 176 nucleotides. The record is from RefSeq and is a predicted model, not a curated record. NCBI's taxonomy places the organism in Eukaryota, Metazoa, Chordata, Hyperoartia, Petromyzontiformes, Petromyzontidae.
CUGUUUAGGCAAAAUGGGGGAUCUUUGUGUGAGGUGCGGUCGUGUAGGUUAUACGUCCUUGCUAACAGCCCUUGUCCAAACAGUCUGUGAAGGCUAUGCGGGGGUUCUUUGUCUUUUGCCUUUGUGAUGUUUUAAUUCGGGCUUUUUAACUUUUAAAAUGAAAUAGUUGAAUGAAA